GUCUUCUCCAACCACACCGGAACCAUCACGCACCACCGUUCGCCCUCACCUUCGCCUCCGGUCUCCGACAUCAGUUCCAAAUAAUUUACACAACCACAAAUUCACUCAGUUUAACGAAGCUUCCAAUUCGUGAUUUUGCUUUACUGAUUCCGUUUUAUUCAGGUUAUGUGUUAGAUUUGGAUAUCUGACCUGGCCACACGCAUACUUCAAGGAACUCUUUAAUCGGUUACGACUUUCAUGGAUUUAGGAUUUGUGUGUGUUUUGAAUUGAUUCGACGGUCAUUUGGGUGUAUGUUCUAUAUGAAUUUCCGCUUAUGCUGUGGGUUUUGGACGUUAAGCUUUUUAAUUUCUAUUUACCUUACAAUACUUUAUCUAUAGAUUACUUUUCUUUUUUUCUCAUUUUAAGUAUUUUUGGUUGCUAA
Molecule: long non-coding RNA, 421 nt
Filed under: Helianthus annuus (common sunflower)
Lineage: Eukaryota; Viridiplantae; Streptophyta; Magnoliopsida; Asterales; Asteraceae
Description: sRNA HanXRQr2_Chr17g0828081
Source: RNAcentral